This 253-nucleotide ribosomal RNA is filed under the name uncultured bacterium. RNAcentral describes it as "partial 16S ribosomal RNA". It matches the Rfam family "Bacterial small subunit ribosomal RNA", at positions 524 to 776 of the family's 1533-position model. The record is from RNAcentral.
UACGGGGGGGGCAAGCGUUGUUCGGAAUUACUGGGCGUAAAGGGCUCGUAGGCGGCCAACUAAGUCAUACGUGAAAUCCCUCGGCUUAACCGGGGAACUGCGUCUGAUACUGGAUGGCUUGAGUUCGGGAGAGGGAUGCGGAAUUCCAGGUGUAGCGGUGAAAUGCGUAGAUAUCUGGAGGAACACCGGUGGCGAAGGCGGCAUCCUGGACCGAUACUGACGCUGAGGAGCGAAAGCCAGGAGAGCAAACGGG